This 367-nucleotide long non-coding RNA is filed under the name Rattus norvegicus (Norway rat). RNAcentral describes it as "long non-coding RNA NONRATT013325". Lineage: Eukaryota; Metazoa; Chordata; Mammalia; Rodentia; Muridae. The record is from RNAcentral.
CCGCGUCCCGCUCGCUGAGAGAGGUAUCUCUCCUUUUCCCUCUCCCUUCCCCUAAGGAGUGGAGUCAACAUAUCAAUGGAGCAAGUCACAGUCGUCGAUGCCAGCUUCUUCUUGAAAUGUAGGAAUUUGAAAUACAUAUAAAGCAUCCUUAUGAAUCAGAAACAGCCAGUAUUGGUUUGGGGGGUUUCAUCAUUAACUUACACAUAUGGUGUUACUCCAUAAUUGAUGGUGUGUGGUUAAUAUUUAAUUACAGAUAUAUAAGUAUAUCUUAAUGAAUAAUAGAUGCUUUGCUACUGCUUUUUAAGAAUUUCAGAAUUAAAGAAAAGAUAGCACUUUAAUAAUAGUUAAUACAUGGUAUAGAACAAAA